RNAcentral lists this ribosomal RNA (445 nucleotides) under uncultured bacterium. RNAcentral describes it as "bacterial SSU rRNA". It matches the Rfam family "Bacterial small subunit ribosomal RNA", at positions 330 to 792 of the family's 1533-position model. The record is from RNAcentral.
GCCAGACUCCUACGGGAGGCAGCAGUGGGGAAUAUUGCACAAUGGGGGAAACCCUGAUGCAGCGACGCCGCGUGAGUGAAGAAGUAUUUCGGUAUGUAAAGCUCUAUCAGCAGGGAAGAAAAUGACGGUACCUGAUUAAGAAGCCCCGGCUAACUACGUGCCAGCAGCCGCGGUAAUACGUAGGGGGCAAGCGUUAUCCGGAUUUACUGGGUGUAAAGGGAGCGUAGACGGUGAUGCAAGUCAGAAGUGAAAGCCCGGGGCUCAACUCCGGGACUGCUUUUGAAACUGUGUGACUGGGGUGCAGGAGAGGUAAGCGGAAUUCCUGGUGUAGCGGUGAAAUGCGUAGAUAUCAGGAGGAACACCAGUGGCGAAGGCGGCUUACUGGACUGUAACUGACGUUGAGGCUCGAAAGCGUGGGGAGCAAACAGGAUUAGAUACCCCUGUA